GUUCAGUUGUUAUAUAUCUCGCGGCGCGUGUGGACGUGUGUAUGUGAUGACAACGCGGUGACCGCGCUUUCUCGCACGUGGUAAGGCGGGAAAAGUUCCCGCCUCCGUUAGGCAAAAUAUUUUCCGACGCUAAUAAGCUGGCGAGCGGCGGCGCGGCAGGACGUGGUCUGUUCUGCUACCACUGUCCACCAAGUCUGCCGCCACACCAGCACCGCCUUCCUACCCUGGAGUAUCCCUUCUCUGCCUCACACCCAUAUACAAGCUACUCCUAUCACCCGGCGAUACACGAUGACACAUUCGUUCGUCGAAAACAACGUCGCAAUCGUACAACGUUCACUUUACAACAGUUGGAGGAAUUGGAAACGGCCUUCGCGCAGACACAUUACCCAGACGUCUUCACCAGAGAAGACCUGGCUCUGAAGAUCAACCUCACUGAAGCUAGAGUACAGGUGUGGUUUCAAAAUCGGCGAGCAAAAUGGCGGAAAGCGGAGCGGUUAAAAGAAGAGCAGCGGAAACGGGAAGGAGCCGAGGUGAUGGCUAAAAGAGACCCCAGUGACGACAAGGGUUCAUCCGAGUGUAUGUCGCGAGGUUCUGGUGAGGUGUCUCCAAUGUCAGCGGGGGUGUCUCCACGUGCCUCACCCCCCGCAACACCCGGCUCCCCGCGACGCUCUCCGCUACGAUCGCCGCGCCGCUCACCUAAUAGAUCACCACGCUUAGACAGAUCGGAGGGUUGCUCGUCACCAGCACCAUCAGUGGGAAGUGCAGGGUCUAGAGAAGCUCCAUUGGAUCCUCGGCCUCCUCAUCACCUGUUCUCACCGUUUGAUCAUUCUGGCGCGUUCCGCACGUCCGGAGGCAGUUCAGACGCGCCCCCGCCGCCUCCACUCUUCCUUCCCCCACAUCUCUCACACCUGUCGCAGCAUCUGAACCAUCUGUCGCAGCCGUUCUUCCCAUUGAAAGGAUGGGGAGCUUCCUGCCCUUGCUGUCCAAAAGAGGAGGCUAGAUCGUCGAGCGUCGCCGAACUUCGGCGUAAAGCACACGAGCAUUCGGCGGCGUUACUUCAGUCACUGGCAAAUUUCCAGUCGCGGGCAUUGCUGCCGUUGCCACUUCAUCUGCCACCGCUACCGCUGCAAUUAAUGUCACAGGAACACCAGCCACCGCCACACUCUGAUACCACAAAGCAAUCUGAGUGAUCGACACAUGAGGAUUCCAUGCCCCAUAAUAAUAAAAUAUUUCAGCAGCACGUUAUAUUUAUAUAUUUUUUUAUUUCAACAUUUUUAUUAACAACAACAUAAAGCUCUUAUUUUUAAUACUUACCUUAUUGCUUAAUAUAAUCAAAAGUGUCAGAGUGUAUUAAUCGUUUUUGGUAGUUUACUAAGGUACUACACGGUAGCAUAGCCACUUUGGACAUAUUAUCUUUGAAUAAUUAUGCUAGAAGCUCAUUUUGUAAUUAAAUAAAUAAAUUAAUUGUAAUAAGAGUUAUUUUCUCGUUUUUUCCACAAUUAGUGUCAGAUUUUGUAGUAGGGGAGACCAUGAAAGUAAUUGAAUAGUUAUUCAAGUGUAAUGAUUACCGAUUAAAUUGAAAACUUACUUUUAAGAAUUUGGAUGAUUAAAGAUAGGUAUUUUUAUAUAAGAGGGGACAAAAGGCCCACGGGACGGGAACUGGGAACUGGCGAAGCAACCGCCAAUGGACAUCCGCAACACCAGAGGUUAGGGGCAUUCGUUCUUAGGUUAGGAGUCUAUAUAGUCUAAUGGGUAGUCUAUGGUCUAAGCUUGAAAGUCCCUGAGGCAUAUCGGUUCGAGAAUGCUGCAGUCGGUAAUUGAUACCACAAAGUGGUUAUAUGAAGCAGGAAGUAAAUAUGAUUUAAAGUUGGAUUUCUAUCAGCAUUGACUUUUGACAAGGGUCAAAAAAAUUCUCUUACUUACUUGUGUUUAUAUAUUUUAUUAAUAAUAUAUCUCGCCGUCUUGAAAUAUCGAUCGAGUCAGAUUUUCAUACGUUUCAGCUUGAUCAUUGAUUGUGAUAAUACUUAAAAUCCGAUGCGUUCGAGUAAAUCCUAAACUUCGUCUCAGGCUCCCCUAUUAUUGUUCUGGCAUUAUGUUAUAAAUGUAAUAGUGGUAAAAUUGGCCAAGUUAUAUAUUAGGAUUGCUUGUUUAUUAACUAUUUUAUUAUUAUAUUAACAUAGCAAUUGUGAAUUAUCAUGUGCCAUACAUUUAAAUGCCAAUGAGUUGAGCCAUAUAAUGAAACUUUUACUAACUGUUUUGUUUAGUUGUUUUAUGGUACGAUAUGAUCGUUUUUUUUUAAAUAAAUUUUAAAUUUCUCACAAAUCUUUAACUCUUAAAAUCUCAGUGCAUAGAUAGAAAAAAAAAAUUGUUUGCGAAUACUAAAAUCCUUUGCACGAACGUAAUAUAAUGUAUUUUAAAAUCAAUUGGUAAUUUUUUAUUUUAUUUUUGCUUCUCUCUAUAUAAAUAGUUACUACUAUUGUAUAAAUAUGUAAACGAGGUAAAUUAACUGCUGUCAUUAUUUAGUUAAAUUUUUAGGAAACCAUUCAACAAAUAAGGGUUUGUUUUGCUUCUUAUAUUACGUUAAAUCUUUAAAAAUAUAUAUGAAAACCCUUUUUUAUUCUCUUCUAGUGAUAAGGAGAGUAUACUCUAUGUAUUAGAUUUUUUUAUCAUAUAAAUUGUAAUGUAAUAUAGUAUUCAGACAUAUGUUACCGAAGUCAGUAUUGUCGAGAAAAUAUUUUGUAAAUAGCACUAUUUCUAAUUAAUACUACAAUUAGUGUAAAUAUAACUACAAUUUUAAUCUUGUCUGUUCUAAGU
Leptidea sinapis is the source of this 2814-nucleotide long non-coding RNA. RefSeq lists it as uncharacterized. The transcript has 9 exons. Lineage: Eukaryota; Metazoa; Arthropoda; Insecta; Lepidoptera; Pieridae. The record is from RefSeq and is a predicted model, not a curated record.